GGUGGCUUGGUCUAGUGGUAUGAUUUGUGCUUCGGGUGCACGAGGUGCCGGGUUCGAUUCCCGGAGCCACCC
Nematocida parisii ERTm3 is the source of this 72-nucleotide transfer RNA. It matches the Rfam family "tRNA". From Rfam's summary of the family: Transfer RNA (tRNA) molecules are approximately 80 nucleotides in length. Their secondary structure includes four short double-helical elements and three loops (D, anti-codon, and T loops). NCBI's taxonomy places the organism in Eukaryota, Fungi, Microsporidia. The record is from Rfam.